RNAcentral lists this ribosomal RNA (460 nucleotides) under uncultured bacterium. RNAcentral describes it as "partial 16S ribosomal RNA". It matches the Rfam family "Bacterial small subunit ribosomal RNA", at positions 338 to 795 of the family's 1533-position model. The record is from RNAcentral.
CCUACGGGAGGCAGCAGUGAGGAAUAUUGGUCAAUGGACGAGAGUCUGAACCAGCCAAGUAGCGUGAAGGAUGACUGCCCUAUGGGUUGUAAACUUCUUUUAUAUGGGAAUAAAAUGUUCCACGUGUGGGCUUUUGUAUGUACCAUAUGAAUAAGGAUCGGCUAACUCCGUGCCAGCAGCCGCGGUAAUACGGAGGAUCCGAGCGUUAUCCGGAUUUAUUGGGUUUAAAGGGAGCGUAGGUGGAUUGUUAAGUCAGUUGUGAAAGUUUGCGGCUCAACCGUAAAAUUGCAGUUGAAACUGGCAGUCUUGAGUACAGUAGAGGUGGGCGGAAUUCGUGGUGUAGCGGUGAAAUGCUUAGAUAUCACGAAGAACUCCGAUUGCGAAGGCAGCUCACUGGACUGCAUCUGACACUGAGGCUCGAAAGUGUGGGUAUCAAACAGGAUUAGAUACCCUUGUAGUC